GGUAGGAACCGAAAGGCGACGACCUUCGGGAGCUUGCACAGGUGCUGCAUGGCUGUCGUCAGCUCGUGUCGUGAGAUGUUCGGUUAAGUCCGCUAACGAGCGCAACCCUCGCUGUGUGUUACAAGUGUCACACGGUACUGCCGGUCUUAAGCCGGAGGAAGGUGGGGAUGACGUCAAGUCAGCAUGGCCUUUAUGUCCUGGGCUACACACACGCUACAAUGGCCAACACAAUAGGUUGCUAAGCCGCGAGGUGGAGCCAAUCCUCAAAGUUGGUCUCAGUUCAGAUUGCAGGCUGCAACCCGCCUGCAUGAAGAUGGAGUUGCUAGUAACCGCAGGUCAGCUAUACUGCGGUGAAUACGUUCCCGGGGCUU
RNAcentral lists this ribosomal RNA (371 nucleotides) under uncultured Leptolinea sp. RNAcentral describes it as "bacterial SSU rRNA". It matches the Rfam family "Bacterial small subunit ribosomal RNA", at positions 993 to 1382 of the family's 1533-position model. The record is from RNAcentral. Lineage: Bacteria; Bacillati; Chloroflexota; Anaerolineae; Anaerolineales; Anaerolineaceae.